AUGCCAGCGUCUGAAGCCUGGUGGCCCCUGAGCGGUUCACUCAAUUACUAUACAGUCUUGCAAUUGGAAUUAUUUUGUGAAAGACCAGGGAAAACACAAAAACCUGUCUAUUCUUGUCUGAAAGGGGGACCUUGCCAGGGAGAAGAGAAAGGAUUUACCCGGUUCCUAAAAUCACCAAAAGACCCAUCCCAGAAUUCAGCCUGGUGGGUGGAUGCCCCAGCCAAAAGGCAUCCUUGUAAUGGAAAGAUAAAGAAAAUGGAAAUGAUGAAAGAUUCCACAAUGAAACUUGAGCUCCAGAGGAUAUGAGAGAGCCAUGGUAGGAAGAAUUUUUUGGUCAACCUCAAUGUAGAUAAACUGAAAUUAGAAGCGUGUUGCAUUCACCUGAGGUAAGUGAUUGAUACAGGUCAUUAACCCAAGAGAAGGCUCUCUGUGUCAAUAAACAAAGGACAUCUAUGCCA
This 458-nucleotide long non-coding RNA is filed under the name Sus scrofa (pig). RNAcentral describes it as "lncRNA (ENSSSCG00040027423.1)". Lineage: Eukaryota; Metazoa; Chordata; Mammalia; Artiodactyla; Suidae. The record is from RNAcentral.